Molecule: long non-coding RNA, 6980 nt
Filed under: Equus asinus (donkey)
Lineage: Eukaryota; Metazoa; Chordata; Mammalia; Perissodactyla; Equidae
Description: lncRNA (ENSEASG00005034464.1)
Source: RNAcentral
CCCUAACUGUGUCGACUUUGGCCUCUGAUUGCCCGCAUCUCAGCCCCCAGCCCAGCCCCAUGGGCAGCUAUGUAGAGCCAUGACGCCCCAAGGCGCCUGCCCUUGCGCCCACAUGAUCUCAAGCCAGGCCAUGCUCCCGGGGGGUCAGACAGCCCAGGCCACACACACCUGGCCCCACCACAGCCAGACCACAGACCAGACAUGACGUGGAGGCAAGCGGCCGCGGCCGGCAUGGGCAGGAAGUGGGCGAGAGACCCCAUCUGUGGGCCAGACACAGGCAUGCAGCCCCUCCCAGCCUGCCCCUCACAGCAUCAGCCUCACCCCCACAGGGGGCAAAUGGUCCAGAGCGGGACAGCGGUCUACUGAGGACUCGCAGCCAUUGAGGCAGGGCCUGGAGGAGGCCUGGGCCACCCUCUCCUCUCCAGCUUCUCUGGGGUAGGUGAGCAGACGGACCUGCAGCCCAGGGCCACCAGGCCGAGGUAGGCAGAGGUCUCUCUCAGCCAUGCUGGACCCUCCAGCAGCCUUGAGCAGGUGGGUCCCGGAUGCUAUUCAGGCUUCAUCUCCUUCUCAGCCAGGCCAUACGGAGCAGCCAAGGACCAGGAGAAUGGAGAACGGACACCAAGACAGAGAAAGAGAGAAGGCGGACUACCAGAGAUCCCAGAGACCACGGGGCAGGAGGCUAGGCCUGGGCAGGGGUAUGCUGGACUUAGGCAGAACUGGGAGGAGGUGAUCGGGGCUGAACUUAAUGGGGCUGAGCUGGGAUGAACUGGGCUGAGCUGAGCUGAACUAGGCUGAACUGGACUGAGCCGACUGGGGCGAAACUGGGCUGAGCUGGGCUAACUGGGAUGAGCUAAACUGAACGUGGCUGAGCUGGGCUAACUGCACUGAGCCGGGCUAAUCAGGCUGGGCUGGGCUGAGCUGGGCUAAUCAGGCUGAGCUGGGCUGAGCUCAGCUGAGUUGAGCUGAGCUGGGCUAAUCGGGCUGAGCUCAGCUGAGUUGAGCUGAGCUGGGCUGAAGUGGCCUGAGCUGGGCUAAUUGGGCUGAACUGAGCUGAGCUGGGCUAAGGUGAACUGGGCUGAGCUGGGCUAACUGCGCUGGGCUGAGCUGGGCUAAUCAGGCUGAGCUGGGCUGAGCUCAGCUGAGUUGAGCUGAGCUGGGCUGAAGUGGCCUGAGCUGGGCUAAUUGGGCUGAACUGAGCUGAGCUGGGCUAAGGUGAACUGGGCUGAGCUGGGCUAACUGCGCUGGGCUGAGCUGGGCUAAUCAGGCUGAGCUGGGCUGAGCUCAGCUGAGUUGAGCUGAGCUGGGCUGAACUGGCCUGAGCUGGGCUAAUUGGGCUGAACUGAGCUGAGCUGGGCUAAUUGGGCUGAACUGAGCUGAGCUGGGCUAAGGUGAACUGGGCUGAGCUGGGCUAACUGCGCUGGGCUGAGCUGAGCUGGACUAACUGGGCUAGGCUGAGCUGAACUGGGCUGGGCUGAGCUGAACUGGGCUGAGCUGGGCUAACUGCACUGAGCUCAGCUGGGCUGAGCUGGGCUAACUGAGCUGGGCUAACUGAGCUGGGCUGGGCUGGGCUGGGCUGAGCUGGGCUAACUGAGCUAGGCUGAGCUGGGCUAACUGAGCUGAGCUGGGCUAACUGAGCUAGGCUGAGCUGGGCUAACUGAGCUGAGCUGGGCUAACUGAGCUGGGCUGUGCUGUGCUGAGCUGGGCUCAGCUAGGCAGAGCUGGGCUAACUGCGCUGGGCUGGGCUGAGCUAGGCUGAGCUAGGCUGAGCUGGGCUAACGGAGCUGGGCUGGGCUGAGCUGGGCUAACGGAGCUGGGCUGAGCUGAGCUGGGCUGAGCUAGGCUGAGCUGGGCUAACUGGGCUGGGCUGAGCUGAACUGGGCUGAGCUGGGCUGGGCUGAGCUGACUGAAUUGGGCUGAGCUGGGCUGGGCUGAACUGGGCUAAUCAGGUUGAGCUGAGCUGAACUGGGCUGAGCUGAGCUAACUGAGCUGAGCUGAGCUUGGCUGGCUGGGCUGAGCUAGGCUGAGCUGGGCUAACUGGGCUGAGCUGAGCUGGGCUGAGCUAACUGAAUUGGGCUGGGCUGGGCUGAGCUGGGCUUGCUGGGCUGAGCUGGGCUAACUGGGCUGAAUUGGGCUGAACUCAGCUGAGCUGGGCUAUGCUGGCCUGUGAGCUGAACUGAGGUGAUCUGGGUUAAGUUGCGCUGAAGUGGGCUGAUCUGGCCUGAGCUGGGUGAGGUGAAUGGGAAGGGGUUGGUCGGGAUGGAGCCCCACCUCAGGGUCCUGGUCUCCAGCCAGCCUGUUGACCCUGUUUCUUGGGGACCCAUGGGUCAGGCAGCCUCAGGGUGCAUCCGUGAUGCUCUCUCCCCCUUCACCAGUUGCCCUGAUGGGAACGGAAAGUACAAGUGGGCAGACCACGCCCUGUGUAGCCCAGCCUGCCCGGGCGGACAUCCCAGAAGGACUGAUUUAGAUUUGGGCCUUUGGCCUCGAAACUCCUGUAGGCCACAGAGGUCGACUUGGAGUUUGUUAGGGCCUGGGGUGGGAGGAGAGUGGUGGGUGGUUGGACUGGGACCUGGACUGGGGAAAUGGGAGAAGGCACAGAAGGCACAGGCCCCCUCUCCUCCCCAGAGUCACCUCCAGCACAGGCUCAGCUUCAAGUCAGAGCACUCUGUCAUCACCUGUGCCCUGCCAGGGGCCCAACCCCUCACGCCCCUGAGCCCUAGGGGAGGGUAUGGCUGUGCCGCCACCCAGACAGGAGCUGGGGCUCCGGCAGCAGUGGGAGAGCCAUGUGUGAUAACUACAACUUCUGCUGGGAGUGGCCUGUGCCAGAGGCCCUGUCCAAGGAGCGUGUCUGGGUCCACGUGCUAGAACUCUGAGGAGUGUGUUCAAAAACAGUGCAGCUGGACUCAGGAGGGUGGGUCCAACCCCAGGUCCAGGGUGUACGAGCUGCCUGACCUUGGGGCAGUCACUAACCCUCUCUGUGCCAGUUUCCUCUGGUGUAAAGGAGAGGCGGGCACCGUCCCAGCCUUGUGGGACUGUCUCAGGGGUCCAGGCCGCACGAGAGCCCGCCGUCUCACAGCACGUCUUGUGUUGCAGCCUCUGUGACCAGCCCCAGCAUCUUCCCGCUGAGCCUCCAGAAAGCUGACUCAGGUGACCCUGUGGUCAUCGCCUGCCUGAUCACAGGGCUUCUUCCCGCUGGGCUUCCCAGAGCCCGUGAAGGUGACCUGGGGCAAGAGCGGGGAGGUCAGGAACUACCCCCCCUUGGAGGCCGGGGGCCUGUACACCGUGAUCAGCCAGCUGUCCCUGUCCGGCCAACCAGUGCCCAGAUGACGCAUCCGUGAAGUGUGAAGUACAGCAUUACACCAGCCCCAGCAAGUCUGUGGACGUGCCCUGCAUAGCUCCAGUACGCCCUCCACUCCCUCCAUGCCCCUGUGAGUGCCCCUUGUGUCCAGCCUGCCGCGCCUGUCCCUGAGCCCGCCGGCCAUCGAGGACCUGCUCCUGAGCUCCAAUGCCAGCCUCACCUGCACACUGAGAGGCCUGAGAGACCCCAAGGGCGCCGCCUUCACCUGGAGUCCCCUCGAGUGGGAACGUCCCUGUCCUGCAGGAACCCAAGCUUGAACCCAGCGGCUGCUACAGCGUGUCCAGCGUGCUGCCAGGCUGCGCCGAGCCGUGGAGCAAAAAGGAGACCUUCUCCUGCACCGCCAGCCACCCUGAGCUCAAAGAGUCACAAACUGUCUCCAUCACCAAACCCACAGAACCCUUGUUCCAGCCCCAGGUCCACGUGCUGCCGCCGCCGUCGGAGGAGCUGGCCCUCAACGAGCUGGUGACGCUCACGUGCCUGGUGCGGGGCUUCAGCCCUAAGGAGGUGUUGGUGCUCUGGCUGCAAGGGCACGAGAAGCUGCCCCGCGAGAAGUACCUGGUCUUUAAGCCCCUGCGGGAACCUGGCCAGAGCGUGCCCACCUUUGCCGUGACCAGCCUGCUGCGCGUGGAGGCUGAGGCCUGGAAGAGGGGAGACGUCUUCUCCUGCAUGGUGGGCCACGAGGCUCUGCCCCUGAGCUUCACCCAGAAGUCUAUCGACCGCCUGUCGGGUAAACCCACCCACGUCAACGUGUCCGUGGUCAUGGCGGAGGCGGACGGCACCUGCUACUGAGCUGCCCCCGCCUGACCCUUGAAUAAACUCUAUGCUCGCCCAAAGCAGCCCGCGCUUCCAUCUGGCCGCCUGUCUGUCUGUCCUCGGGGUCUGCGGCAUGCCAGGGAGGUGGCAGGGCCCAGGGAGGAAAGAACACCCCGCUGCCCUGACCCUCUCAGGACCUCAGUUUCCCCUGUUGGCCUGGCACCUCGACGUACCUUCACACGGUGUACUUGUGUGAGUGUGUAAGCAUGAGUGUGAGCACGUAAUGCAUGGUAGUUGAAGCUGAGCUGGGGGUGAAACCUGAAGAUGGCAGAGGCAGGCGAGGCUGUCCGAGCCCGUGGGUCCUAAGAGCAGUGGGCACCAUGGGAAGUUCCCAUGGGCAGGUGACGUGGUCCUUCAUAUCUCAGAAAACUGACUCUAGGGGCAGGUGGGAGGGACUAGAAAGGGGGAAAGGAGAGCAGGCUGGCUGGGAAGAGGCUGGUGCCAUCGUGGGAGUCAUGGGAGGGAUGGUAAGGGAAGGAGGGCUGGACUUCAGGGCCCCUGCACCGCCCCUCAUGAGUACAAGGUGCAAAAGAGCAGGACGGCCCCACUGACUCACACAUAAGGGGCACCACCCCCGUCCUGGGCACAGCCUUCCCCAUUCGCAUCACACCACUCUGCAUGUGUGCCCACAGGUGCAUACACACAUGCACACAUAUGCUCCCACGUGCUCACACUCACUAGUGCACACACACAUCAGGGCCCUGCAGGCACAGGAAGUUCACAGCGCAGGCCCAGCUCCAGGAAGGCAAGGGGAGUCCCCACCCAAGCCCCCACUGGUUUUUCUCCAGGCCCAGCGCUGCUGCCCCAUGCCCCUCCUGGCCUCGGGCCUCCCUGUGUGUCCAGCUGAGCACAGCUCAGGGAUCAAUUCCACAGGCCCCUCCCAAGCAGUCCCUGCUCCCUGCCUGGUCCCCAGGCUCAAGUCUCACCUCCCUUCCUGAGCCCAAGUAUGGCCCAAACCAUAGACAGAGCAGGGACAGAGGUGGGGAGGUGUCAGAAAAGACACCUCCCACCCAGGGCCCCGCUGCAGCUUCUGCUUGGGGCUCCUGGCAGGAGAGGAGGAGGCCAGGGGAGACGAGCAUAGAGAGGCAGCCCCGUGACCGCCGUGGGGACACCUGGCACCAGGGCUCCCACAAGGGGGCAGCGGGGCCCCUGCUCUUGGCUCAGACCUUCUGGGCCUCCCCAGGGAACCCAGCCUUCUGGCUGCCUCCCUCUGCUCCCAAGGCCUGGGUGAGAUGGAGAUCCCUCUCCACCCUGGCCACUGCUCCCCUCUCAGGUCCAGUCACCAAAGGGCAAUAGAGGGAGCAAUGGGGUAAUUGGAGAAGAGCUGCCAUAGAGCAGGUGCUCCAGACACUAAGGGACCCAGAACCUGCACAAAGGAGGAGCUUUCUAAAGAGACAAGGAAGGCAGAAGAAUCAAUAGAUGAGGGACUGAGCCAACAGAUGGACAGCAGGCAGACAGGUGGAUGGAUCAUAGGAUAUAUAACAGAUGGGAAGAUGGGCAGACAGGUGGAUGGAUGGAUGGUCGGGUGGAUGGAUGGAUGGAUGGAUGGAUGGACGGGUGGAUGGAUAGACAGAGGGAAGGAUGGAUAGAUGGAUGGAUGGUUGGAUAGAUGGAUGGAUGAACAGGUGGAUGGAUGGACAGAUGGAAGGAUGGACGGAUGGAUGGACGGAUGGAUGGAUGGAUGGGUGGGUGGGUGGGUGGGUGGAUGGAUGGAUGGGUGGGUGGGUGGAUGGGUGGAUGGAUGGAUGGGUGGGUGGAUGGGUAGACAGAUGGAUGGACUGAUGGACGGAUGGAAGGAUAGAUGGAGGGAUGGAUGGAUGGGCAAAUGGAUGAAUGAUUGGAUGUGUCAGCAUAUGACAAGCAGGUCCAAAUCCCACUGUAACAUGGGAGGUCUAUGCCCUGGGACCCUGAGGACAGCAGGACUGCCUGUGCUGGUGGCCUUCACCUGGGCCUCCCUUAUACUCCUUGUAGCUUAUCAGCUACAUUCCCUGGGAGAGAAGAGAGGACCCUGGUCAUGCCCAUCCAGCAUUUGGCACACUGAAUCACAGACCCAGAUCUAUGGCCCAACUCAGAGCAACCAUGGGUAUGGGCAUAUCUGUUCCUCUCUGGCCCCACUCAGGGCCCAGGCCAAGGCCAGCCAAAGAGCAAGGGCUUGCUGAGAAUACAGAUAGGGCUGGGGAUCCAGGAGGCCUUGGGCUUGAGCUCUCUUUGGAGUAGCAAAGACAGUGCCCACCCUUCUGCCCUGCCAGGUAUCUCCCCAGAAGUUGCCCUGAGACCCUCAGAAACAGGGGUUCUGUGGGCAUCUCAAGAGCUGCAAAGGUUGCAGCCACCUCGCCCUCCCUGAGGAAGCCUCAGACCUGAGAUAGGGCACCCCUACUGCCUCUGUCCUGACCCCAAGUGUGCUGAGAGGGGAGAGCAUUGGCUUGGCCCCCACCCAUGCAGGCGCAGGCCUGACAGGCUCUCAGUGUCUUGCAGGUUACCGGGAGCCACCUCCCUGGGUGGUGCUGGACCCGCCACAGGAGGACCUGGAGGAGGACACCCCAGGAGCCAGCCUGUGGCCCACCACAGUCACCCUGCUCACUCUCUUCCUGCUGAGCCUCUUCUACAGCACGGCACUGACCGUGACCAGCAUCCGGGCCCCACCUGGUGGCAAAGAGGGCCCCCAGUACUGAGAAGGAGCCAGCCAAGCAAAGGGAGGAGCCUGGAGGAGCCCCCUGGAAGCCAAGCUGGAUGCCAGAGCUCAGCCCUGCUUGGAAGCCACCCGACUCUCCCACACAGGCCUUCCUGGUGCAAUAAACUGAUCCCCAAGGAA